ACAGAGGGUGCAAGCGUUAAUCGGAAUUACUGGGCGUAAAGCGCGCGUAGGUGGUUUGUUAAGUCGGAUGUGAAAUCCCCGGGCUCAACCUGGGAACUGCACCCGAUACUGGCAAGCUAGAGUACAAUAGAGGGGUGUGGAAUUUCCUGUGUAGCGGUGAAAUGCGUAGAUAUAGGAAGGAACAUCAGUGGCGAAGGCGACACCCUGGAUUGAUACUGACACUGAGGUGCGAAAGCGUGGGGAGCAAACAGG
This 252-nucleotide ribosomal RNA is filed under the name uncultured bacterium. RNAcentral's name for it is "partial 16S ribosomal RNA". It matches the Rfam family "Bacterial small subunit ribosomal RNA", at positions 525 to 776 of the family's 1533-position model. The record is from RNAcentral.